RNAcentral lists this long non-coding RNA (1876 nucleotides) under Salvia miltiorrhiza (redroot sage). Its description in RNAcentral is "long non-coding RNA (SMIL_LNC008228)". The record is from RNAcentral. Lineage: Eukaryota; Viridiplantae; Streptophyta; Magnoliopsida; Lamiales; Lamiaceae.
AUGGACCAAGUGGAAGAGUUCCAAAAUCUUUCACAUGAGGUUCAAGCCGAAGGGAUGCCCUUGGCGGAUGCAUUGCUUCUUCUGCUGCUGCUGCAACCUGUUGCUGUGUGGGCUGGGCUUGGGAAUAAAACAAUCAUUUGGGCCAAGAAUUAAAUUCUGUUGGGCCAAAAUUAAAAGCCCAGUGGAGUUGGUCCAAAAUAAUAAUUUGGGCCCCAAAGCACCAAUUGCCAAGAUCCAAGUCCUUGGCCGCGGCCCGUACCCGACCCGCCCGUCCGGCGGCGCCGGCGACGUCGUCGUCGUUCGUCCGUCCGUCCGAUCGUCGGCGGCGGCGCGCGUGUGUGCGCGAGGCUAGUACUUAGAUCAAGCCCACUAGCAAGCCCACAAGUCAAUUUAUCAACUCUAUGUGCUUUGCUAUUCUUAUACAUGAAAAACAUCUCUAUGUUUUCCAAUGUGGGAUAGCAUUUAUUUUUCCUCUUCAACAUCCAAACUUUGACAUACAAUAUCUCACUCAUCGGAAAUCGGUUUUGAGACUUCAAGUAUACCACGUUGAUCUACUCGAGAUGUAGAUUAACAUCCAAUAAUUAUUUUAAUUAAAUAAUAAAUAUUUAAUUAAAUAAUAAUUUUCAGAUAUGGCUUAAAACCAUAUUUCCAACAGUAUUCACUUACGAAUAGCUAGAUAUUCUACCUUAAAUAUAGUCCUAGUUCAUGUUAGAACCGGGUACACGAUCGAGAUAUUACAAAAUAAAUAUUUUGAGAUAUUACAACUCAAAAUAAUUGAAAAUAUUACAAAGAAAAUAAUUUGAGAAAUUACAACUCAAAUAAAUGUAUACAACUGAAAUAUACUGUAUAAAUAAAUUAUACGUAUAAACUAAGUCGAGUCGAGAUGAAUCUCUUCCCGCAAGAAGAUUAUCGCCCCGGUAGUGCUCUUCGGUUUGGCGUAUCUCCCCUAAAGGUAAAACGACUUCGUCUCAUUGGAUGUAGCACCACAAUCCGGCGAGCUCCGGCGAACUGAAUAGGAUUAAGAACUGAGCGCAAGUGUUAUGCAGAGAGUGUGUGUAGAAAUGACAGAAUGCAGAAUAUUUGUUGAUUUUUGUGUGUUCUAUCUGCAUGCUCUCCACAAGCCUAUUUAUAGGCAUGUAGUAAGUAUGAAUUCAACACCUUGAAUUCUACUCCGACGGCUGGAAGCCGUAAAGGUUGAAGAUGAAGAGAUGGCCGAUGGUCGCAGUCAAAAAGAUGAAGCUGCCAUGCAGAAGUCGAAGUUGGCGUGCUUCUGCUACUGCUUCUUCUGCUGCUGCUGCAACCUGUUGCUGUGUGGGCUGGGCUUGGGAAUAAAACAAUCAUUUGGGCCAAGAAUUAAAUUCUGUUGGGCCAAAAUUAAAAGCCCAGUGGAGACACCACCCCAAAGCACCAAUUGCCAAGAUCCAAGUCCUUGGCCGCGGCCCGUACCCGACCCGCCCGUCCGGCGGCGACGACGUCGUCCGUCCGAUCGAUCGUCGGCGGCGGCGCGCGUGUGUGUGUGCGCGAGGCUAGUACUUUAGAUCAAGCCCACUAGCAAGCCCACAAGUCAAUUUAUCAACUCCAUGUGCUUUGCUAUUCUUAUACAUGAAAAACAUCUCUAUGUUUUCCAAUGUGGGAUAGCAUAACAAAUGUUAUUUUCCCUCUUCAACAUCCAAACUUUGACAUACAAUAUCUCACUCAUCGGAAAUCGAUUUUGAGACUUCAAGUAUAUCACGUUGAUCUACUCGAGAUGUAGAUUAACAUCCAAUAAUUAUUUUAAUUAAAUAAUAAAUAUUUAAUUAAAUAAUAAUUUUCAGAUAUGGCUUAAAACCAUAUUUCCAACAAUCCCCCACAUGAGUGAGAAAUCAGUAUGCGAAAG